This 203-nucleotide ribosomal RNA is filed under the name uncultured bacterium. Its description in RNAcentral is "partial 16S ribosomal RNA". It matches the Rfam family "Bacterial small subunit ribosomal RNA", at positions 358 to 553 of the family's 1533-position model. The record is from RNAcentral.
GGAAUUUUGGACAAUGGGGGAAACCCUGAUCCAGCCAUCCCGCGUGUAUGAUGAAGGCCUUCGGGUUGUAAAGUACUUUUGGCAGAGAAGAAAAGGUACCUCCUAAUACGAGGUACUGCUGACGGUAUCUGCAGAAUAAGCACCGGCUAACUACGUGCCAGCAGCCGCGGUAAUACGUAGGGUGCGAGCGUUAAUCGGAAUUA